CACGACACCAACACCAUCUACAACACUUUGUAAGUAAUGGAUUAGCGAUUGACCACAUCGUAGACAUAUGUCAUCAUAUGCUAGAUAAAUAUGUCAUCACAUGAUAUAUAUAUACCACACGAUACACCUUACAUAAUGAUUAAAUCCACAGAGUCAUUGUAUUCUAUACACACAUAUAUCAUCGCUUGUAGCCUAGUAACCUCACAAUUGGAUUUACAGAAAGGUCAUUGAUAUUUGUAACACGUCAUCAAGCAUAUAUAACAACAUUUUUCUUUUCUAAAAUAUUUUAGCUUCUGCAGUACCAAACGACUUUGU
Biomphalaria pfeifferi is the source of this 315-nucleotide non-coding RNA. Lineage: Eukaryota; Metazoa; Mollusca; Gastropoda; Planorbidae. The record is from the annotation of a GenBank genome assembly.